UAGAACGCUGGUCGGCAGGCUAACAUUACAGUCGAGCGCGCCUUCGGGUGAGCGGCGGACGGGUUAGUAACGCGCGUGCCCUUUUCUACGUGAAUAGCCUCUGGAAACGGAGAGUAAUACCGUAUACGCCCUUUGGGGGAAAGAUAUAUCGGAGAAGGAUCGGCCCGCGUUAGAUUAGGUAGUUGGUGGGGUAACGGCCUACCAAGCCUACGAUCUAUAGCUGGUUUUAGCACGAUGAUCAGCAACACUGGGACUGAGACACGGCCCAGACUCCUACGGGAGGCAGCAGUGGGGAAUCUUAGACAAUGGGGGCAACCCUGAUCUAGCCAUGCCGCGUGAGUGAUGAAUGCUUACUGCGUCUAGCUCCUCGCUGUCAUGAUAAUGACCGGCACGCCGUGCUCCGACACCCCGGCUAACUGCGUGCCCGCCGUCGUCGCCCUCCGGCGGGGGUCUCCGUUGUUCGG
This 464-nucleotide ribosomal RNA is filed under the name uncultured Ruegeria sp. RNAcentral describes it as "bacterial SSU rRNA". It matches the Rfam family "Bacterial small subunit ribosomal RNA", at positions 29 to 548 of the family's 1533-position model. The record is from RNAcentral. Lineage: Bacteria; Pseudomonadati; Pseudomonadota; Alphaproteobacteria; Rhodobacterales; Roseobacteraceae.